UUUCUCUUCUCUCUCUCUCUCUCAUCUUUCUCUUUCUCUUCUCUCUUUCUCUCUCUCUUUACAGCACAAUCGUUGCAUCUCUUACUCUCUUUCUGCAAUUUAGUUGUUGUAUCUCUCUCUCUCUCUCUCUCUCUCUCUCUCUCUCGCCGCCCCUUCUCCGCUAAGAAUCAUCGGGAGUCGUACCCCCUCGCAGCCUCUCCACCUCACCGUUUUUAUCCCUUGCACAUUCUUCGACAACAGACAGCCUUGGAGGAGCCGCCGCUGCUGUUCUGCUUUCGGCCAUGUCCAACGGAGCCUGACCUUCAGUCGCGUUGCCCCGUCCUUCACCCACGCUGCCGCCUCAACGCCGCGCUGCCCCGUGUCUGCAUCGACGCUUCGCUCUGGCUCCGAUCUGAAAUCAAUUUCCAUACAGAGAGAUGGAGAAACAAGCGGAAAUAGACAUAUCGUCGCCACCGACUAGAGCGAGAGUCCAGCGACGAGCGGCGGGAGGCGAGGGCGGCGCGAGAGUUGGAGAAGCGGCGGAGGGAGAAGGAGAGCAAACCCUAACGAAGAGAGAGCGGCGGAAGAGAGGAGACGAAGGAGAGCGAACCCAAAAUGAGGAAAAAAAUGGAAAAAAAAAUCUUUUAUAUUUUACGUAAUUGGAUCGGGCCGGGCGGACGUCCGCACAAUAUAAUUUGCGAUUUUUUUC
Salvia miltiorrhiza (redroot sage) is the source of this 688-nucleotide long non-coding RNA. RefSeq lists it as uncharacterized. The record is from RefSeq and is a predicted model, not a curated record. Lineage: Eukaryota; Viridiplantae; Streptophyta; Magnoliopsida; Lamiales; Lamiaceae. The transcript has 2 exons.